Long non-coding RNA from Bombus terrestris (buff-tailed bumblebee), 738 nucleotides. RefSeq lists it as uncharacterized. NCBI's taxonomy places the organism in Eukaryota, Metazoa, Arthropoda, Insecta, Hymenoptera, Apidae. The record is from RefSeq and is a predicted model, not a curated record. The transcript has 3 exons.
GCGAGGGCGAGCUGAGAAAGCGAAAGCGAAAGCGAAAGAGAACGCUGCAUAAAGGCCUCUUGUGUCCUUGUCUAAUAACGCAUGCUCGUUCGUAUAGCAAACAUAUAAGUGUAUAGCCAACACAAACAUUGUCAGUGUCAUGCCUGAUUAGACAAGGACAGAAGACACUUUUAUGCAGCGUUCUUUCUACUCCUAUAUCGCAUCCACUUACACGAUAAUUUAAGACUAUAUGACUCGCGUACUCUAACUCUUUGUAUAUCUAUGGUUAUAAUAGACAUUUAUUGCAGUCUCACAGUUGUUAGAAAUUUUGAGUUUUAGGACAUGUCUAAGAAUCAUCGAAAUGGAAAGGUUUCCUCGGUGCGUCAAUAUCUUCAAGAAUUCGUGGACAUGGCUGCAAGCGUUAGUGGAGAGGACAGAGUCGUUCUAUCAGGCGUAACGAUCAGUGGACAGUCCUGUGCGAAAUCUUCAGUUGCGAACAGUAUCUCCAAGCAUCGAUGAAGGUGAGAAUACGUGCCUGGUGACAUUGCAUCGUUGACACGGGAUACAUUGUCGUGCCCAAGUCCGGCAAUCUUUAUUUACGGACGGUCAAAUGAAACGCGACGUCACCAAUUUUUGCGUGGCACGUAUCUCUGGAUGGGAAAGUCCGUGGAGCGAAUUAAACACGUCGCGCCGCAAGGAUUUCGGUACGUACCAUCGUACAAUGUCGCCUGAUAUGUCGCAAUAAAUUUCUACCUAUAA